UACGUAGGUGACAAGCGUUGUCCGGAUUUACUGGGCGUAAAGAGCGCGCAGGCGGUCGAUCAAGUCGAGUGUGAAAGCCCCCGGCUCAACUGGGGAGGGUCAUUCGAUACUGAUCGACUCGAAGGCAGGAGAGGGUAGUGGAAUUUACGGUGUAGCGGUGAAAUGCGUAGAUAUCGUAAGGAAGACCAGUGGCGAAGGCGGGUCUCUGGACAGUUCCUGACGCUGAGGCACGAAGGCCAGGGGAGCAAACGGG
RNAcentral lists this ribosomal RNA (253 nucleotides) under uncultured bacterium. Its description in RNAcentral is "partial 16S ribosomal RNA". It matches the Rfam family "Bacterial small subunit ribosomal RNA", at positions 524 to 776 of the family's 1533-position model. The record is from RNAcentral.